UACGUAGGGUGCGAGCGUUGUCCGGAUUUAUUGGGCGUAAAGAGCUCGUAGGCGGUCUGUUGCGUCGAUUGUGAAAACCCGGGGCUCAACUCCGGGCCUGCAGUCGAUACGGGCAGACUAGAGUUCGGCAGGGGAGACUGGAAUUCCUGGUGCAGCGGUGAAAUGCGCAGAUAUCAGGAGGAACACCGGUGGCGAAGGCGGGUCUCUGGGCCGAUACUGACGCUGAGGAGCGAAAGCGUGGGGAGCGAACAGG
This 253-nucleotide ribosomal RNA is filed under the name uncultured bacterium. RNAcentral describes it as "partial 16S ribosomal RNA". It matches the Rfam family "Bacterial small subunit ribosomal RNA", at positions 524 to 776 of the family's 1533-position model. The record is from RNAcentral.